UGUCUUUCACUUGUCAAGCUCAGAAUCGUAAUAUAAUUAGGAUUUUUACGAUUAACACUUUUACACAGAGCCCUGCGCUUCCUCUCUGGGCGCUGGGCAGGCUCGCCGUGCCGCGCUUUUCCUUCCUACCGGGCCAAAAAUAGUGGUGGGGCUGUGAUUGGCAGCCUGUCCUGGUAAUUAGCCACAGGAUGUCUGCUGCCAGUGGAAGCCAACGGAGACAUCAGCAAAAGGGAAAUCAGAGCAAACAACCCGAAGCUGUGAUCCAAGCAUCUGCUGCUGCUGCAGUGACCGAGCUGGGUCCUCAGCCGGCUGAGGAGGGGUCGGUGGCCCCCACGGCGGGGGCCCUGCAUGAGACCUCCCAUGCGGCUGGGUGCAGCACCCUUGCAGACGGGGAUCAGCACGAGCAAUGGUGGCGACCCAGGCUGAGCUGAGCGGGCAGUGGGAGAGCAGGCGUCCUCCCCAAAACGCCAGCACCAAGCCUGGCAGUGAGGAAAUGAGAAGAUAUCUUCUAAAGCAGAGAUAAAUAAAAGCCACUGCAUAAAUAGUACCUAUGCAAGGAAAUACUGCGCCAAAAGCCAAUGUUUGGGGGAAUGUCAAAGAUGCUGUCUCAUCUGCCAGCAUCUCCAGCACGAACGCGAUGUGUCAAUGUGAAGUGCUCCCAGCUGCGUCCGUCCACUCCGCUUUCAUUCCCGGGAGAGAUUCCUGGGACAAAAAACAGGUUGGCGUGAUGGAUCCAGCAGAGGUACGAAACGCUCGCUCCAGCCAGGGAAUGUGGGGCUGCAGGCGAGAACCCCAGACCACCGAGGAGAUGGUUCAGGACGAGGGAAGCAGUGGCACUAUGCCCAGCUCUGGGGCUGGCCUCUGGCGUUACGUGGGAUCUGAGGUCAGCCCGAGGAGCGCCCACCGCCCUGUGCACUGCCUUCUCCUGGGCCCUCGGCAAGCAGGAGAUUCGGGAAGCGUGCCGAGCCCCAUGGAGUAGUCUGGGCAAUGGGUUUGGAGCUCCCACAGCAGCCAUUUGGGGAGGCGUUCCCGUGUGUCCCCUGCCCAACCCAAGGGACCGGGCUCCUCGAAGGAAACCGCUCCGCAAAGCGUGCCUGUGCCAGAGCCAGCUCUGCAGCCAUCUCUCCAGCACCAGGCGGGAUUAAUCGCUUUAUCAGCCAAAUACAGGUGGGUUAACACAGUCACUUAAUCUCUGUUUAAGCAGCUGAUGCUUAAAAAAAUAGCCUAAAUUGUACUUG
Cygnus olor (mute swan) is the source of this 1238-nucleotide long non-coding RNA. RefSeq lists it as uncharacterized. Lineage: Eukaryota; Metazoa; Chordata; Aves; Anseriformes; Anatidae. The transcript has 3 exons. The record is from RefSeq and is a predicted model, not a curated record.